This is a non-coding RNA of Cinara cedri, 371 nucleotides long. The record is from the annotation of a GenBank genome assembly. Lineage: Eukaryota; Metazoa; Arthropoda; Insecta; Hemiptera; Aphididae.
AUCUCAGUUUUCCAGGGAAUAUGACAAAUAUUUUUGCUGCUCAAGAUUAAGUUGCCAGUUUUAUCCGUAAAUUGCAACUUCACCAAAAUGGAACUGAAGUUUAGGACAUAUCAAUGUUCCCAGAACUAACAAUAAUGCUCGACGAAAGAAAUGAAAAAUGCUCAUUCACAGACCAAAUAACUCUCCACUUAAUAUCAGUAGUAGAUUAAAUCGGUAAAUAUUUUCCAGAUAUAAAAAAUCGUCAAGUUAAUGCUUGGGUGUUAAGACCUUUUUCAGUAAAUGUAAGUAUAUUUCCAGAUAUUGAAAUUAAAGCUAAAGCACAAAUUUAAGGACUUUGUGAAGACAACAGACGGAAAAUAAAUUUUGAAAAC